RNAcentral lists this ribosomal RNA (427 nucleotides) under uncultured bacterium. Its description in RNAcentral is "partial 16S ribosomal RNA". It matches the Rfam family "Bacterial small subunit ribosomal RNA", at positions 355 to 774 of the family's 1533-position model. The record is from RNAcentral.
UGGGGAAUAUUGGACAAUGGGCGAAAGCCUGAUCCAGCCAUGCCGCGUGUGUGAAGAAGGUCUUCGGAUUGUAAAGCACUUUAAGUUGGGAGGAAGGGCAUUAACCUAAUACGUUAGUGUUUUGACGUUACCGACAGAAUAAGCAACGGCUAACUCCGUGCCAGCAGCCGCGGUAAUACAGAGGGUGCAAGCGUUAAUCGGAAUUACUGGGCGUAAAGCGCGCGUAGGUGGUUUGUUAAGUUGGAUGUGAAAUCCCCGGGCUCAACCUGGGAACUGCAUUCAAAACUGACUGACUAGAGUAUGGUAGAGGGUGGUGGAAUUUCCUGUGUAGCGGUGAAAUGCGUAGAUAUAGGAAGGAACACCAGUGGCGAAGGCGACCACCUGGACUAAUACUGACACUGAGGUGCGAAAGCGUGGGGAGCAAACA